AGUGAACGCUGGCGGUAGGCCUAACACAUGCAAGUCGAACGGCAGCACAGUAAGAGCUUGCUCUUACGGGUGGCGAGUGGCGGACGGGUGAGGAAUACAUCGGAAUCUACUUUUUCGUGGGGGAUAACGUAGGGAAACUUACGCUAAUACCGCAUACGACCUACGGGUGAAAGCAGGGGAUCUUCGGACCUUGCGCGGUUGAAUGAGCCGAUGUCGGAUUAGCUAGUUGGCGGGGUAAAGGCCCACCAAGGCGACGAUCCGUAGCUGGUCUGAGAGGAUGGUCAGCCACACUGGAACUGAGACACGGUCCAGAUUCCUACGGGAGGCAGCAGUGGGGAAUAUUGGACAAUGGGCGCAAGCCUGAUCCAGCCAUACCGCGUGGGUGAAGAAGGCCUUCGGGUUGUAAAGCCCUUUUGUUGGGAAAGAAAAGCAGCAGGUUAAUACCCCGCUGUUCUGACGGUACCCAAAGAAUAAGCACCGGCUAACUUCGUG
This 492-nucleotide ribosomal RNA is filed under the name uncultured bacterium. RNAcentral's name for it is "partial 16S ribosomal RNA". It matches the Rfam family "Bacterial small subunit ribosomal RNA", at positions 29 to 507 of the family's 1533-position model. The record is from RNAcentral.